RNAcentral lists this long non-coding RNA (597 nucleotides) under Rattus norvegicus (Norway rat). RNAcentral's name for it is "long non-coding RNA NONRATT030886". The record is from RNAcentral. Lineage: Eukaryota; Metazoa; Chordata; Mammalia; Rodentia; Muridae.
CUGUUGCCUUCAUUUCCUGCCAUCUGGGAAUUAGAUGUCAUUUGCUGCUGGAUUUCCCUCAGUCCUCUCAGCAAUGCUCUUGUGGUGGUGUUAACACUGGCUGCCUCCCUGUCAGACAAAGGAAAUGUGAAGUUUUCCAAGAGUGCCAAGUGUGUGGCCUGUGCCUCCACCCAGAGCCUAUACCUACCCACGUGCCUCCAGCCCCCACCACAUGCUGAGAAUGGCUGGAUUUUUCUCUUUCUUCCUUCUCAUAGUCUCUAUCCAGCAGUCCUCAGGCGCAGCCCCCUCGGCCAGCAGAGCUGUCAGAUGAGGAAGUGGCUGAGCUGUUUCAGAGGCUGGCCGAGACACAGCAGGAGAAAUGGAUGCUGGAGGAGAAGGUGCUGUCGGGCUGCAUGCUAGUCUUCCCAUGAAAUGCCCUGGGAUGGGGUUGCAGGGAAAGGGGGCGGGGGAAGGGUGUCUAAGAGUGGUCUGAGUCCCUCCUCACAGGAGAAAAUGGGAAGUCGAGGGGCCUGAGAUGGGGUGGACCAUCUUGCAGGUGAAACACCUGGAGGUGAGCAGCGCCUCGAUGGCGGAAGACCUCUGUCGGAAAAGUGCCAU